RNAcentral lists this small RNA (67 nucleotides) under Alteribacillus persepolensis. RNAcentral describes it as "Bacillus sp. HS-136 Bacillaceae-1 RNA". It matches the Rfam family "Bacillaceae-1 RNA". Lineage: Bacteria; Bacillati; Bacillota; Bacilli; Caryophanales; Bacillaceae. The record is from Rfam by way of RNAcentral.
AAAGAAGGACGUUCGGCUAAGAGCGUCACAUCCUGUGACAACGCCGAACUGAUUCCCAUCCUGAGAA